UCUACCAAUUUCAAAUUUCCCACCUUUUUCAAAAAUCGGUCUUUCAAGAACUCUCCUCCUCUAGGAACUCUCCUAAGAUCAAAACUCUUGAAAGCCCCUUUAAAUACCCUUUUCAACUUCUUGAUUUCGGUCAGAUCUUGACUCAAAGAAUUAGGGUUUCGGCUACCUUCAAAUCCCAAGUUCGUGCUCUCUUUGAUUCCAAGGUUUCAACUCUUAAAUUCGAAGCCCUAUAAUUCAUCACAAGUCCACGUGGCUAGCUCUUCCUCUUCAAACUCGGGCAGCGAGUCUGGCACACGGAGAGUCGCAGGUUGAUG
Molecule: long non-coding RNA, 314 nt
Organism: Asparagus officinalis (garden asparagus)
Lineage: Eukaryota; Viridiplantae; Streptophyta; Magnoliopsida; Asparagales; Asparagaceae
Exons: 3
Source: RefSeq, a predicted model, not a curated record